This 253-nucleotide ribosomal RNA is filed under the name uncultured bacterium. RNAcentral describes it as "partial 16S ribosomal RNA". It matches the Rfam family "Bacterial small subunit ribosomal RNA", at positions 524 to 776 of the family's 1533-position model. The record is from RNAcentral.
UACGUAGGGCGCAAGCGUUGUCCGGAAUUAUUGGGCGUAAAGCGCUCGUAGGCGGCACUGUUAGUCAGGCGUGAAAGUCCUGGGCUCAACCUGGGAACUGCGCUUGAUACGGCAGAGCUAGAGGAUGGAAGAGGCUCGCGGAAUUCCCAGUGUAGAGGUGAAAUUCGUAGAUAUUGGGAAGAACACCGGUGGCGAAGGCGGCGAGCUGGUCCAUUACUGACGCUGAGGCGCGACAGCGUGGGGAGCAAACAGG